GCGCCAGACUCCUACGGGAGGCAGCAGUGGGGAAUAUUGCACAAUGGGGGAAACCCUGAUGCAGCGACGCCGCGUGAGUGAAGAAGUAUUUCGGUAUGUAAAGCUCUAUCAGCAGGGAAGAAAAUGACGGUACCUGACUAAGAAGCCCCGGCUAACUACGUGCCAGCAGCCGCGGUAAUACGUAGGGGGCAAGCGUUAUCCGGAUUUACUGGGUGUAAAGGGAGCGUAGGCGGCCUGGCAAGCCUGAUGUGAAAUACCGGGGCCCAACCCCGGGGCUGCAUUGGGAACUGCCAGGCUGGAGUGCCGGAGAGGCAGGCGGAAUUCCUAGUGUAGCGGUGAAAUGCGUAGAUAUUAGGAGGAACACCAGUGGCGAAGGCGGCCUGCUGGACGGUGACUGACGCUGAGGCUCGAAAGCGUGGGGAGCGAACAGGAUUAGAUACCCCGGUA
RNAcentral lists this ribosomal RNA (447 nucleotides) under uncultured bacterium. RNAcentral describes it as "bacterial SSU rRNA". It matches the Rfam family "Bacterial small subunit ribosomal RNA", at positions 328 to 792 of the family's 1533-position model. The record is from RNAcentral.